Molecule: long non-coding RNA, 328 nt
Organism: Amphimedon queenslandica
Lineage: Eukaryota; Metazoa; Porifera; Demospongiae; Haplosclerida; Niphatidae
Exons: 3
Source: RefSeq, a predicted model, not a curated record
GGUUCUUGUUCAGGUUACUACUUUCCUGAGUUGAAGUAAGUAUUAUGAAGUCUCUAUUAGGUCGAAUGACCUGCUGAAUCCUUGUUUGCUUGAUCACUGGAUCUCUUUGUGCUGUAAAACAUGGUGGCCUAUAAUUCUGACUUCAAACACCUUUUCUCCAAUCUUGGGCAGAGUUAUUUGUUUAUGGUCUGUUUUGUAAACGCCUUUUCUGGAAAACUGUGCUAUUUGAAGAGGGUAUGAAUAUGAAACCAAUGAAGAUAAAUUGUCUGUUGUUUCUUGUACUGACUCUUUUCAGAAGAAAUAUAGAUUUUUAUGAAGUUUUUUAUAA